Molecule: ribosomal RNA, 369 nt
Filed under: uncultured bacterium
Lineage: Bacteria
Description: bacterial SSU rRNA
Rfam family: Bacterial small subunit ribosomal RNA
Source: RNAcentral
CUAAGCUUGACAUCCUUUUGACCUCUCCUUAAUCGGAGAUUUCCNUUCGGGGACAGAAUGACAGGUGGUGCAUGGUUGUCGUCAGCUCGUGUCGUGAGAUGUUGGGUUAAGUCCCGCAACGAGCGCAACCCUUGCCUUUAGUUGCCAGCAUUAAGUUGGGCACUCUAGAGGGACUGCCAGGGAUAACCUGGAGGAAGGUGGGGAUGACGUCAAAUCAUCAUGCCCCUUAUGCUUAGGGCUACACACGUGCUACAAUGGGUGGUACAGAGGGCAGCCAAGUCGUGAGGCGGAGCUAAUCCCUUAAAGCCAUUCUCAGUUCGGAUUGUAGGCUGAAAUCUCGCCUACANGAAGCUGGAGUGNUANUCNGNA